UUUGCUUUUGUAUCAAAACUUUAUUUAUCAAACAAAAAGAAUGCACCAUUGAAAUAACAUUUCUAUAAAAAAGGAACAUGGGACUGUUCUACAGUGCAUUACAAAACCAGCAAUUGUAUACAACAUUGUGGAUAGAAACUUCGCUUUGCUUCAUCUGAGAUACGUCCUCAUCUUCCUCAUCCUCAUCAUCACCAUCCUUCCCCAAAUGAACAAAAUGUACACUCUUAAAUAUUGCAGUCGCUAAGCUAAUUUGGUUAUAAUGUAUCUAGGCUUCUUUUUUUUUUUUUUAAAGGAUGAAGUCAAACAGUAUUUACUGGGAAUCUGUCAGCUCAUCUGUCCAACGAUGAUGUUCUGGAAAUGAAGUAAUUGUCUGUGUGAGAGGAGAUAAGGUCGCUUUAAUUUAGCCCCUUUCACCCCAAAUCAGUCUCUUUAUUUCCCUUCUCUAAGCUCAGACUGACCACAUCAGGCCUCUUCCAAAUUCAUCCCUGACCACCUUCUUUCUGGUGUUUUUUCUAUUUUCUGACCCUCCUUUUUUUGUAUUUUUUCUAAACCGUGUAAUUUGUCCCUUUUUUGAUCCUCAGUGGUUCCCACACAGGAGCGAAGCGCCUAAAGAAAGAAGUUAAUGAGUUUCCCUUUGAAAUGCAGGAGUUGAGCCUCCCCCAGUUUCUAUCUUAUCGGCGUUUCUGAGUUUCAGUCACCGCUGGUUCACGAGGACGGGCUGCUUUUACAGGACUUUCCUGGUGCGUUUGUGCACAUUUUGCUUCAUUACCUACAAAGAGCGUUUACUUUACGUUCCUGCGGAGCGUCUUUUACACUGAUGUCCUGCCUCCCAGGCAGCAGUUUAACACAAACUUUGUGAAGAAAAUGAUGCUGACGCCUCGUGGUAAUGCAGCUGAAAGCAGUUUAACACUGAUGCUGCGUUUAGGGACACAUUCAUUUAGCAUCUUAUGAAAAAACAAACAAAAACACAACAUCUGCAGGCUACAGGACAGUUAGAGACCAAUAUUUCUGAUUGAUAUUAGAGAAUCCCAGAUAUGUAUACAUGAUGAUUUAUCAGAAAUUAUAUGUUUGAAGUCAUGACAACAGAAUUCAGGAAAACUAAUUGAUACUAAAGCAUCAGAUAACAUUUUGAGACCAAAACUGCUGGAAUUAAAC
Amphiprion ocellaris (clown anemonefish) is the source of this 1155-nucleotide long non-coding RNA. The record is from Ensembl. Lineage: Eukaryota; Metazoa; Chordata; Actinopteri; Pomacentridae.